RNAcentral lists this small nuclear RNA (164 nucleotides) under Octodon degus (degu). RNAcentral describes it as "U1 spliceosomal RNA (ENSODEG00000022094.1)". It matches the Rfam family "U1 spliceosomal RNA". From Rfam's summary of the family: U1 is a small nuclear RNA (snRNA) component of the spliceosome (involved in pre-mRNA splicing). Lineage: Eukaryota; Metazoa; Chordata; Mammalia; Rodentia; Octodontidae. The record is from Rfam by way of RNAcentral.
AUACUUACCUGUCAGGGGAGACACCAUGAUCACGAAAGUGGUUUUCCCAGGGCGAGGAUUAUCCAUUGCACUCUGGAUGUGCUGACCCCUGCGAUUUCCCCUAAUGCGGGAAACUCGACAGCAGAAUUUGUGGUGCUGGGGGACUGCGUUCGCGCUUUCCUUUG